This 104-nucleotide small nuclear RNA is filed under the name Echinops telfairi (small Madagascar hedgehog). The record is from RNAcentral. Lineage: Eukaryota; Metazoa; Chordata; Mammalia; Afrosoricida; Tenrecidae.
GUGCUCACUUCAGCAGCACGGAUACUAAAAUGGGAAUGAUACAGAGGUUAGCGUGGCCCCUGUAUAAGGAUGACAUGCAAAUUUGUGAAGCGUGCCAUCUUUUU